AGUCACUGACAUUAGAUACCCCCGUAGUCCCAGCCCUAAACGAUGCGCGUUAGGUGUAUCGGUGACCACGAGUCACCGAGGUGCCGAAGGGAAACCGUGAAACGUGCCGCCUGGGAAGUACGGUCGCAAGGCUGAAACUUAAAGGAAUUGGCGGGGGAGCACCACAACGGGUGGAGCUUGCGGUUUAAUUGGAUUCAACGCCGGAAAUCUUACCGGGACCGACAGCAACAUGAAGGCCAGGCUGAAGACUUUGCCGGAUUAGCUG
This 265-nucleotide ribosomal RNA is filed under the name uncultured archaeon. RNAcentral describes it as "partial 16S ribosomal RNA". It matches the Rfam family "Archaeal small subunit ribosomal RNA", at positions 718 to 982 of the family's 1478-position model. The record is from RNAcentral.